GCUCGAUGAGGGCAAACCCUGAGCGAUCAGGGGACGCAAAGGAAAGGGUCUUUCCCUGUAUACGGAAGUACAGGAAUAAAGAAGUAAAGAUUCUCUAACGUAUACGGAAAUACGUAUCACAUAAGAUAGCCUUACUGCUGAA
Molecule: non-coding RNA, 142 nt
Organism: Candidatus Brocadia
Lineage: Bacteria; Pseudomonadati; Planctomycetota; Candidatus Brocadiia; Candidatus Brocadiales; Candidatus Brocadiaceae
Source: Rfam